This 363-nucleotide ribosomal RNA is filed under the name uncultured bacterium. Its description in RNAcentral is "partial 16S ribosomal RNA". It matches the Rfam family "Bacterial small subunit ribosomal RNA", at positions 338 to 698 of the family's 1533-position model. The record is from RNAcentral.
CCUACGGGUGGCAGCAGUGAGGAAUAUUUGUCAAUGGACGGAAGUCUGAACCAGCCAUGCCGCGUGCAGGAAUACGGGUCUAUGAGUUGUAAACUCCUUUUGUACAAGGGUAAACCUGAAUACGUGUAUUCAGCUGAAAAUACUGUGCUAAUACUGAUCGGCCAACCCCGUGCCAGCAGCCGCCGUAAUACGGAGGAUCCAACAGUGAGCCGGAUUUAUUGGGUUUAAGGGGUGCGUAGGCGGAUUGAAAAGUUAGAGGUGAAAGGGCCGAGCUCAACUCGGGAACGGCAUAUAAUACUGUGGAACUAGAGAGUAGAAGGGGGAGGCGGAAUGCACGGUGUAGCAGUGAAAUGCGUAGAGAUC